Long non-coding RNA from Selaginella moellendorffii, 620 nucleotides. RefSeq lists it as uncharacterized. The transcript has 3 exons. Lineage: Eukaryota; Viridiplantae; Streptophyta; Lycopodiopsida; Selaginellales; Selaginellaceae. The record is from RefSeq and is a predicted model, not a curated record.
ACUUUGUCAGGGUUUUAGGGUUCUUUGGAUCGGGAGCUCGCACUGGCGGAUCGAUCCAUCCGGCAUGCCUGUGAGUAGCUUUGAUGGGACACGCAUUUGCGCUCGACUGAGCUAGAGGCACCGGGAGUAGUGCGCUAUUUGCUGGGAGCUGUGAUCAUGUUUACUGGUGUGAUCCUGCCACUGAUUUUCAUGCUGUUUCGGAAUCGCCGUGUUCCAAGCGCCGCUCCCUUUGCCAAGCAGACGCCAUUUUGAGUACCUCGUUCCAAUCACUUUUGUAAAUUUACUCCACCUGGCCGCACGAAGUUCCCAGGUUUUUGAAAGAACCAGGUUUGUUUUACGAAGGCCUCCUCAAAAUGUUGGUAAAAGUCUCUUGAUUUCUGGUCUUUUAGCGUGAGAGUUUUCGCUUGUUUCAUAACUCAUAGUAGUAAGCACAAGAUCACAAAUUGCUUUUCAGGCGUUGAAGAUCAUUCCCAGAUUCUCAUCUCCAGCUUCCUCAAACCUCGUCUCAGAAUUCCAACUCGCGAGGCUCGCUUCAAAACAGCAUAUAAGUCGUCUAGGAGCCCUCGACUUGUUCUCUCUGUUCUUUAAUUAUUGGAUAAUGUGACUGGCGGUAAUUUUUA